UACGUAGGUGGCAAGCGUUGUCCGGAUUUACUGGGCGUAAAGGGCGUGCAGGCGGUCUGUUAAGUGCAGGGUGAAAGCUCCCGGCUCAACUGGGAGAGGUCCUUGCAUACUGGCGGACUUGAGGGGGGUAGAGGAAAGUGGAAUUCCCGGUGUAGUGGUGAUAUGCGUAGAUAUCGGGAGGAACACCGGUGGCGAAGGCGGUUCUCUGGGCCUUACCUGACGCUGAGGAGCGAAAGCGUGGGGAGCGAACAGG
Molecule: ribosomal RNA, 253 nt
Filed under: uncultured bacterium
Lineage: Bacteria
Description: partial 16S ribosomal RNA
Rfam family: Bacterial small subunit ribosomal RNA
Source: RNAcentral